AUUGAACGCUGGCGGCAUGCCUUACACAUGCAAGUCGAACGGCAGCACGGGCUUCGGUCUGGUGGCGAGUGGCGAACGGGUGAGUAAAGUAUCGGAACGUGCCCUAGAGUGGGGGGAUAACGUAGCGAAAGUUACGCUAAUACCGCAUAUUCUAUGCGUAGGAAAGCGGGGGAUCUUCGGACCUCGCGCUCUAGGAGCGGCCGAUAUCAGAUUAGCUAGUUGGUGGGGUAAAGGCCUACCAAGGCGACGAUCUGUAGCGGGUCUGAGAGGAUGGUCCGCCACACUGGGACUGAGACACGGCCCAGACUCCUACGGGAGGCAGCAGUGGGGAAUUUUGGACAAUGGGCGCAAGCCUGAUCCAGCCAUGCCGCGUGAGUGAAGAAGGCC
RNAcentral lists this ribosomal RNA (387 nucleotides) under uncultured bacterium. RNAcentral describes it as "bacterial SSU rRNA". It matches the Rfam family "Bacterial small subunit ribosomal RNA", at positions 30 to 416 of the family's 1533-position model. The record is from RNAcentral.